GAGACUCUGUGCGCGUGCAUAUCAAUAAGCGGAGGAAAAGAAACUAACAAGGAUUCCCUUAGUAACGGCGAGUGAAGCGGGAAGAGCUCAAAUUUGAAAUCUUCAAGGUUCUACCUUGACGGAUUGUAGUUUAUAGAAGUGUUUUCUGUUAGUAGAGUGGCAAAAGUUCUUUGGAAUAGGACAUCAUAGAGGGUGAGAAUCCCGUAUUUGGUCAUUCCUCCUAGCUUUGUGAUACACUUUCAACGAGUCGGAUUGUUUGGGAAUGCAGUCCAAUAUGGGUGGUAAAUUUCAUCUAGAGCUAAAUAUUGGCGAGAGACCGAUAGCGAACAAGUACCGUGAGGGAAAGAUGAAAAGAACUUUGAAAAGAGAGUUAAACAGUACGUGAAAUUGUCAAAAGGGGAGCGUUUGACACCAGUGUUGUUUUUCCGAAAAUCAAUUACGAAUGUUUUGUUUUUGAGGAGUUAUGACUUCAUCGGCUUGCUUCUCUCUUUACGAAACUUUCUUAAUGCACUUUUCGGUUAACAAGUCAACAUCAAUUUCUUUUGUUGUAAAAGGGUAUGAGGAAGGUGGCUUUCUUUUCGGAGAAAGUGUUUAUAGCCUUGUAGCCUCUGCAAUCGGAGAGAUUGAGGUCUGCAGCGUAGAUCCUUCGGGGUUAGAUACAGUUUGUGCUAAGUUAUAGCUUUUCAUAGACAACUUGUUGACUAUGUUAGUCUUGUAGCUUACUCGCUUAUGCUAUUUUACCUACGCUUAGGAUGUUGACGAUCAGCUGAGCGCG
Molecule: ribosomal RNA, 775 nt
Filed under: uncultured Neocallimastigales
Lineage: Eukaryota; Fungi; Neocallimastigomycota; Neocallimastigomycetes; Neocallimastigales
Description: partial large subunit ribosomal RNA
Rfam family: Eukaryotic large subunit ribosomal RNA
Source: RNAcentral